Molecule: ribosomal RNA, 386 nt
Filed under: uncultured bacterium
Lineage: Bacteria
Description: bacterial SSU rRNA
Rfam family: Bacterial small subunit ribosomal RNA
Source: RNAcentral
AUUGAACGCUGGCGGCAUGCCUUACACAUGCAAGUCGAACGGUAGCGGGCCUUCGGGUGCCGACGAGUGGCGAACGGGUGAGUAAUGUAUCGGAACGUACCAUUGAGUGGGGGAUAACGUAGCGAAAGUUACGCUAAUACCGCAUAUUCUCUCCGGAGGAAAGCAGGGGACCGCAAGGCCUUGCGCUCUUUGAGCGGCCGAUAUCAGAUUAGCUAGUUGGUGAGGUAAAGGCUCACCAAGGCGACGAUCUGUAGCGGGUCUGAGAGGAUGAUCCGCCACACUGGAACUGAGACACGGUCCAGACUCCUACGGGAGGCAGCAGUGGGGAAUUUUGGACAAUGGGGGCAACCCUGAUCCAGCCAUGCCGCGUGAGUGAAGAAGGCCUC